RNAcentral lists this non-coding RNA (235 nucleotides) under Pediculus humanus corporis (human body louse). Lineage: Eukaryota; Metazoa; Arthropoda; Insecta; Psocodea; Pediculidae. The record is from RNAcentral.
GGUGUAGAGGAUGUUUUAAGGGCGGGGAUUCUGAGAUUGGAUUUCCCACGUUGACUAGGCGUCCGCUAGGGGUAAAUCUUCGACGUGGAUGCCUUAGGGAAGUCCGAGGUAGCCAGGUUUAGUCCCAGAAAAGGGGAAAAAUCGGUCCAAAAGUCACCGAGUCGAGAGUUGUGGGUUCAAAUCCUGGGAGUGGGAGUUCAAUUUUAGCUCGUCUAAACAAAAACAGACCUCUACC